Molecule: ribosomal RNA, 253 nt
Filed under: uncultured bacterium
Lineage: Bacteria
Description: partial 16S ribosomal RNA
Rfam family: Bacterial small subunit ribosomal RNA
Source: RNAcentral
UACGAAGGGGGCUAGCGUUGCUCGGAAUCACUGGGCGUAAAGGGUGCGUAGGCGGUCUGGUAAGUUUGGAGUGACAGUGCUCGGCUUAACUGAGCAAGGCCUUCGAAAACUGCCAGACUUGAGCACUCAAGAGGGACAUAGAAUUCCGGGUGGAGUGGUGAAAUGCGUAGAUAUCCGGAGGAAUACCAAAGGCGAAGGCAGUGUCCUGGGGAGUGUCUGACGCUCAGGCGCGAAAGCUAGGGGAGCGAACAGG